CGGGUGUAUGGCUGACCAGUGAAGCAAUCUGGAGGUGCAGAAGCCAACUGCAAAUCAUGACACAGCCAGAUUCUAGAUUCUCCAGGCUCUGAACAAGGACUCACACCAGAGACUCCUGGGAACGCUCUAGGGCUUCAGCCUCGGACUGUGACUACACCGGUGGUGGUGGUCCUUCUCAUCGUUCUAAGGCUCUGCCUUCUUGGACUAAUCAGCUCCUGGUUCUCCAGCUCUCCAGCUUGCAAAUGCUACUUGGGGACUCUCUGGCCUCUGAGUUCGUGAGGCGAUCAGGUGGAUUCCCUCCAGUGAGUGCCUUGAUGUCCGUCAACCACCUGCCCCAAGAAGAUGCUUCCAAUUUCCUGCCUGGAAGGUGCACACCUGGGAGCCAAAGGGGAAAGGAGUUUAGGGAUUUCAGCAUUCAUCACCUAAACAUCUGCUGGUUUUUAGUGCAGAAGCCGCUCUGCUCUCCAGGCAAUAAACCUCCAGUGUUCUGCUGGGGUAGAGGAGAGAUUGUCACCCAGGAGAGGAGGUCGGAGGUCAAGUAGCUCCUGGAACAGCCUUUCCACAGUCCUGGCUGUACCUGUGGCUGCCAAGUCCUGCUCCUUGGGGGUGCUCUGUGGAAAGGAG
This 624-nucleotide long non-coding RNA is filed under the name Heterocephalus glaber (naked mole-rat). RNAcentral's name for it is "lncRNA (ENSHGLG00000037581.1)". Lineage: Eukaryota; Metazoa; Chordata; Mammalia; Rodentia; Bathyergidae. The record is from RNAcentral.